Molecule: long non-coding RNA, 226 nt
Filed under: Struthio camelus australis
Lineage: Eukaryota; Metazoa; Chordata; Aves; Struthioniformes; Struthionidae
Description: lncRNA (ENSSCUG00000014434.1)
Source: RNAcentral
CUAGCCCAGGUGCUCUCGGCCCGUGGGGUGUUUCAGCGGGCUGCGCGGCUCCGCCAGGCCAGGGAAGCGCGGCGCAGCUUGUCAGGAACUUCUUCCAUGGGUGUGAUCCAUGCCAGCAGUUAGCACCCUAAAGUUAGCUGGCAGGUUUUCUAGUGAGCAUAUGUGGGUACAUCCUACCAUUUAUCAGCCGCAACACACUGAUGUCACAAGUCCCCUGCCUCAUUAA